UACGAAGGGGGCUAGCGUUGCUCGGAAUCACUGGGCGUAAAGGGUGCGUAGGCGGGUCUUUAAGUCAGGGGUGAAAUCCUGGAGCUCAACUCCAGAACUGCCUUUGAUACUGAGGAUCUUGAGUUCGGGAGAGGUGAGUGGAACUGCGAGUGUAGAGGUGAAAAUUCGUAGAUAUUCGCAAGAACACCAGUGGCGAAGGCGGCUCACUGGCCUGAUACUGACGCUGAGGCACGAAAAGCGUGGGGGAGCAAACAGG
Molecule: ribosomal RNA, 256 nt
Filed under: uncultured bacterium
Lineage: Bacteria
Description: partial 16S ribosomal RNA
Rfam family: Bacterial small subunit ribosomal RNA
Source: RNAcentral